RNAcentral lists this transfer RNA (73 nucleotides) under Dipodomys ordii (Ord's kangaroo rat). It matches the Rfam family "tRNA". Rfam says of the family: Transfer RNA (tRNA) molecules are approximately 80 nucleotides in length. Their secondary structure includes four short double-helical elements and three loops (D, anti-codon, and T loops). Further hydrogen bonds mediate the characteristic L-shaped molecular structure. tRNAs have two regions of fundamental functional importance: the anti-codon, which is responsible for specific mRNA codon recognition, and the 3' end, to which the tRNAs corresponding amino acid is attached (by aminoacyl-tRNA synthetases). tRNAs cope with the degeneracy of the genetic code in two manners: having more than one tRNA (with a specific anti-codon) for a particular amino acid; and 'wobble' base-pairing, i.e. permitting non-standard base-pairing at the 3rd anti-codon position. The record is from Rfam by way of RNAcentral. Lineage: Eukaryota; Metazoa; Chordata; Mammalia; Rodentia; Heteromyidae.
GGAAGCAUGGCUACAAUGACAAAGCACUUGCCUUAUAAGCAGAAGACCCUGAGUUCAAAUCCUAGUACUACUA